RNAcentral lists this ribosomal RNA (1155 nucleotides) under Apis cerana (Asiatic honeybee). RNAcentral describes it as "bacterial SSU rRNA". It matches the Rfam family "Eukaryotic small subunit ribosomal RNA". Lineage: Eukaryota; Metazoa; Arthropoda; Insecta; Hymenoptera; Apidae. The record is from RNAcentral.
GUUUCUCUCUGUCUCAGAUUAGCCAUGCAUGUCUCAGUACAUGCCGAAUUAAGGUGAAACCGCGAAUGGCUCAUUAAAUCAGUUAUGGUUCAUUAGAUCGUGGACACAUUUACUUGGAUAACUGUGGUAAUUCUAGAGCUAAUACAUGCAAACAGAAUUCCUCUCAGAGAUGGGAGGAAUGCUUUUAUUAGAUCAAAACCAAUCGGUGGCGGACGGCUCGUCCGUUCGUCCAUCGUUUGUUUUGGUGACUCUGAAUAACUUUGUGCUGAUCGCAUGGUCAUCUAGCACCGGCGACGCAUCUUUCAAAUGUCUGCCUUAUCAACUGUCGAUGGUAGGUUCUGCGCCUACCAUGGUUGUAACGGGUAACGGGGAAUCAGGGUUCGAUUCCGGAGAGGGAGCCUGAGAAACAGCUACCACAUCCAAGGAAGGCAGCAGGCGCGCAAAUUACCCACUCCCGGCACGGGGAGGUAGUGACGAAAAAUAACGAUACGGGACUCAUCCGAGGCCCCGUAAUCGGAAUGAGUACACUUUAAAUCCUUUAACGAGGACCAAUUGGAGGGCAAGUCUGGUGCCAGCAGCCGCGGUAAUUCCAGCUCCAAUAGCGUAUAUUAAAGUUGUUGCGGUUAAAAAGCUCGUAGUUGAAUCUGUGUGUCACAGUGUCGGUUCACCGCUCGCGGUGUUUAACUGGCAUUAUGUGGUACGUCCUAUCGGUGGGCUUAGCUCCUUGCGGGCGGUCCAACUAAUAUCCCAUCGCGGUGCUCUUCACUGAUGUCGAAGGUGGGCCGAUACGUUUACUUUGAAAAAAUUAAAGUGCUUAAAGCAAGCUACCUUUGCCUGAAUUACUGUGUGCAUGGAAUUAUGGAAUAGGACCUUCGGUUUUAUUUUUGUUGGUUUUCGGAACCCCGAGGUAUAUGAUUAAUAGGGAACAUAAUGGGGGCAUUCUAUAUGCCACUUUAAAGGUGAAAUUCCUUGGGACCGCCCCAAGACGACGAAGCGAUGCAUUGCCAAAAUGUUUUUCUUAUACCCGACCGAAGUUAAGUCUGAAAGCGCAUCGAUCCGUCCUAUUUUACUCUACGAGCCGCAUCGUAUCGCCGAGAUUCUCGAUGACUCUGGCGCCUUUCGGGAAACAAGCUUUUGUUCGGGAAAUUGGUUUCA